UACGUAGGGCGCAAGCGUUGUCCGGAAUUAUUGGGCGUAAAGAGCUCGUAGGCGGCUUGUCACGUCGGGUGUGAAAGCCCGGGGCUUAACCCCGGGUCUGCAUUCGAUACGGGCAGGCUAGAGUGUGGUAGGGGAGAUCGGAAUUCCUGGUGUAGCGGCGAAAUGCGCAGAUAUCAGGAGGAACACCGGUGGCGAAGGCGGAUCUCUGGGCAUUAACUGACGCUGAGGAGCGAAAGCAUGGGGAGCGAACAGG
This 253-nucleotide ribosomal RNA is filed under the name uncultured bacterium. RNAcentral's name for it is "partial 16S ribosomal RNA". It matches the Rfam family "Bacterial small subunit ribosomal RNA", at positions 524 to 776 of the family's 1533-position model. The record is from RNAcentral.